ACGCUCGACACCUACGGGGGGCAGCAGUGGGGAAUAUUGCACAAUGGGGGAAACCCUGAUGCAGCGACGCCGCGUGAAGGAAGAAGUAUCUCGGUAUGUAAACUUCUAUCAGCAGGGAAGAAAGUGACGGUACCUGACUAAGAAGCCCCGGCUAACUACGUGCCACAGCCGCGGUAAUCUGAGCGGGCUGGCAAGGC
This 197-nucleotide ribosomal RNA is filed under the name uncultured bacterium. RNAcentral's name for it is "partial 16S ribosomal RNA". It matches the Rfam family "Bacterial small subunit ribosomal RNA", at positions 328 to 539 of the family's 1533-position model. The record is from RNAcentral.